AGAGUUUGUUCCUGGCUCAGGAUGAACGCUAGCUACAGGCUUAACACAUGCAAGUCGAGGGGCAGCAUGAACUUAGCUUGCUAAGUUUGAUGGCGACCGGCGCACGGGUGAGUAACACGUAUCCAACCUGCCGAUGACUCGGGGAUAGCCUUUCGAAAGAAAGAUUAAUACCCGAUGGCAUAGUUCUUCCGCAUGGUAGAACUAUUAAAGAAUUUCGGUCAUCGAUGGGGAUGCGUUCCAUUAGGUUGUUGGCGGGGUAACGGCCCACCAAGCCUUCGAUGGAUAGGGGUUCUGAGAGGAAGGUCCCCCACAUUGGAACUGAGACACGGUCCAAACUCCUACGGGAGGCAGCAGUGAGGAAUAUUGGUCAAUGGACGAGAGUCUGAACCAGCCAAGUAGCGUGAAGGAUGACUGCCCUAUGGGUUGUAAACUUCUUUUAUACGGGAAUAAAGUGAGGCACGUGUGCCUUUUUGUAUGUACCGUAUGAAUAAGGAUCGGCUAACUCCGUGCCAGCAGCCGCGGUAAUACGGAGGAUCCGAGCGUUAUCCGGAUUUAUUGGGUUUAAAGGGAGCGUAGGCGGACGCUUAAGUCAGUUGUGAAAGUUUACGGCUCAACCGUAAAAUUGCAGUUGAUACUGGGUGUCUUGAGUACAGUAGAGGCAGGCGGAAUUCGUGGUGUAGCGGUGAAAUGCUUAGAUAUCACGAAGAACUCCGAUUGCGAAGGCAGCUUGCUGGACUGUAACUGACGCUGAUGCUCGAAAGUGUGGGUAUCAAACAGGAUUAGAUCCCCUGGUAGUCCACACAGUAAAAGAAGAAUACCCCCUGUUUCCAAAUACAGAAAGCGCCAACCAAAACCUUUAAUUUUUCCCCGGGGGAGUGGCGCCGGCAACGGUGAAACUCAAAGGAAUGACGGGGGGCCGGCACAAGCGGAGGAACAUGUGGUUUAAUUCGAUGAUACGGGAGGAACCUUACCCGGGCUUAAAUUGCAGAUGAAUUACGGUGAAAGCCGUAAGCCGCAAGGCAUCUGUGAAGGUGCUGCAUGGUUGUCGUCAGCUCGAGCCGUGAGGUGUCGGCUUAAGUGCCAUAACGAGCGCAACCCUUAUCGAUAGUUACCAUCAGGUGAUGCUGGGGACUCUGUCGAGACUGCCGUCGUAAGAUGUGAGGAAGGUGGGGAUGACGUCAAAUCAGCACGGCCCUUACGUCCGGGGCUACACACGUGUUACAAUGGGGGGUACAGAAGGCAGCUACACGGCGACGUGAUGCUAAUCCCGAAAGCCUCUCUCAGUUCGGAUUGGAGUCUGCAACCCGACUCCAUGAAGCUGGAUUCGCUAGUAAUCGCGCAUCAGCCACGGCGCGGUGAAUACGUUCCCGGGCCUUGCACACACCGCCCGUCA
Molecule: ribosomal RNA, 1393 nt
Filed under: uncultured bacterium
Lineage: Bacteria
Description: 16S ribosomal RNA
Rfam family: Bacterial small subunit ribosomal RNA
Source: RNAcentral